RNAcentral lists this long non-coding RNA (2360 nucleotides) under Pan troglodytes (chimpanzee). RNAcentral describes it as "lincRNA". The record is from RNAcentral. Lineage: Eukaryota; Metazoa; Chordata; Mammalia; Primates; Hominidae.
GGGUUCUAAGCCAACAGCCUAAAUACUUUAGGUCCAUUAUUUAGGUCCAAGUUCAACCACUAGACCUGUACUUCACAAGCCUUCAGAGGAUUCCUGCUUUCAGCCAGCAAGCUUUUUCAGCUGAAGCCCCCAGUAUCAUGGAACAGAAUCAGAUUAUUUCCACCGAGUCCUUUUCAAUUUCUUAACCCACAGGAUUUAUGAGCAUUAUGAAGUCAUUAUUGCUUUCUGCCACUAGGCUGAGAGUGGACCACAUAUACAGAAAUAGAAAACUAUUAAUAGAAAAAUAUAUUGCAAACAUCUAAUCCUCAAACCCCAUUCAAGUUUUGCCAACUACUCUCCAUCCUAUCAAAUAUUCCUUAUACCAAAAGAUCCGGUUCAAAAAUAAGUGUUGCAUUUAUUUUUUAACCUCUUUUGAUCUGGAAUAGCUCCUCACACCGUCUUUCAUGACUUUAGUGCUUUGGAAGACUACAGAAGUUUAGGCUCAUCUGAAAUUUCCCUGCCGUCACCUGGGAAUCAACCAUUUCUUCAGGGAGUCCUAGUUUCUUUUAGCGUAUAGCCACCAAUUUCUACUGAGUAUUUAUCUACUAUAUGGCAGGUCAAGUCUGCAUUCUGGGAUAAAGUGUUGACACAAUCUUGAAUCAGUGCCUAAGGAGUUCACAAGUCCAGAGAGGGGAUAGCGUAUAUAGGAAGCAAGGGACAACAGAAGCCUAGAAUUCCCAGUGAGCCAGAUUUCCAAGGCUCAAGAAAGCCAUCCAAGGAAAAUACAAUCAAUCCUGUGCAUGCUCGUCAUUGCACUGCUGCUGAAGCACCCCUGAAAGCACUCCCCUCCGAGUUAUAUAACCUGGGGAUAAUUGGCAUUGCUGGACUAAAGUUUGGCAGGACAUCCUGUUCCAGAAGGAAGCGGAACAGAGUACAGCCUGCUGUGGACAGUUCCUUUUUGUGUCAGGAUGCUUCAUUCGCAGCACAUUCUACAAUUAUUCUGAGAGCUACAAGCAAGAAAGACAAGGGAGAACUGGGUUAGCUAAGAAAUAUAUUUCUGGCAACAGUGGAGAAGAAUGAUAGGAAGAGAAUCAUACUGGAAUAGUAUAAUCCAUUGGAAGGUUGUUGUAAUGAAGGCAAGAAGAAAAAUGAUCUUGAAGGCAAGAAGAAAAAUCAUAAUGAAGGAAAGGAGAGAUGAGUUUACCAAAUAUAAUCUCAGAAUUGUUCUGUAAAUUUCAUUUCUGCUUUAGCAGCCAUAAAGAGCUCCAUUUAUUACAGUAGGAACAGAGGCAACAGUUACAUGGGUGGCUGGCAGUGAUAGAAAAGAUUUUAGUUUUGAUACAUGGAAUUUGACAUGCUUUUUGAAAAUCUUCAGAUGGUGAUGUACAGUAAGUUGUUGAAUCUUUAUUUUCCAAGCAUCUACACGUACACAACACACAUAUACACACAAUACAAGUUCAUUUAAAGCUCAUCACAUUUGUAAUCUUUAAAAAUUUAUAUUUCUUAAGAACUGCUCUUGUCAGAUAAGGGCUUAAGUGGGAGAAAUCAAAACUAAAAGGAGAUGAUCUAUUACAGUACUAAACUUUACAUGGAAAGUAUUCAUAUUAUGGUGUAAGGUGUAGAAGUUCAUGGCAAGCCAGCACUCUUAAUGCAACUGCUACAAAAGACAAAUAAAUAAACUGCAUAACUAUAUAUUUGAAAAAGUUUGAAGAACUAUUAGAUAAAUUCAGAAAAGAUGAACUUAAAAUCUUGAAGAAUUUGCCAUUUUUUAGUAUUGGCAGAAGCUGGGUUUACCCAGGCAAAGAGCCUUUAUGGUUAGAAAAACACAAUAAAACAAUAAUAAUCUGAUAGGUGGACGGGGCUGGUAUGAAAGAUUGGAACUAUGCGGAACUCCAAAUUCAUAGUUGUUUCUCACCAUUAAACAUUUGCUGAUUUCUGGGGACAGAUAGGAAUUCUAAUAGGCAUAGCUGGCAAAGUGAAGGGAAAUCUCCCACAGUCUCAUAUUACUUGAAAAACAAAGUUCCAUUAAAAAGAAGAAGAUGGCUGUCAACAAAUUAGUAAUAGGCAAAUGGUGGAUAGGAAGCAGGACUAAAUUGCAACUCCCACUCAGACAGAGAGUAGCUUGUGGAGACUCACAUUGUGAACUUUUGCUCCCAGAACUACUGCAGGAACAUAUGAGGAAAGAUGAGAGAAUCCACAGACUCUUUGAAGGAAGCAGAUUGCUCCUGCAGGGCCUGGGAGACAACCCAAACACUGGGUCCUUAGGGAGAGGUGCCAGAGGAAUUGGAAAAAGGCCACAGGCAGAAGGAAGGCUCCAGCUGAACUUGAUGCAGUGAUGUGGAGGCAAAAAAGAGAAUAUUAUUGAUUAAAGGAAGAUGAAU